RNAcentral lists this ribosomal RNA (510 nucleotides) under uncultured bacterium. Its description in RNAcentral is "partial 16S ribosomal RNA". It matches the Rfam family "Bacterial small subunit ribosomal RNA", at positions 28 to 523 of the family's 1533-position model. The record is from RNAcentral.
GACGAACGCUGGCGGCGUGCCUAAUACAUGCAAGUCGAGCGAAUGAUGAGAAGCUUGCUUCUCUGAUUUAGCGGCGGACGGGUGAGUAACACGUGGGCAACCUGCCCUGUAGACUGGGAUAACUUCGGGAAACCGGAGCUAAUACCGGAUAAUUCUUUUAGCCUCAUGGCUUUAAGCUAAAAGGCGCUUCGGCGUCACUACAGGAUGGGCCCGCGGUGCAUUAGCUAGUUGGUGGGGUAACGGCCUACCAAGGCAACGAUGCAUAGCCGACCGGAGAGGGUGAUCGGCCACAUUGGGACUGAGACACGGCCCAAACUCCGACGGGAGGCAGCAGUAGGGAAUCUUCCACAAUGGACGAAAGUCUGAUGGAGCAACGCCGCGUGAGUGAUGAAGGUUUUCGGAUCGUAAAACUCUGUUGUAAGGGAAGAACAAGUGCGUUAGGUAAUGAACGCACCUUGACGGUACCUUAUUAGAAAGCCACGGCUAACUACGUGCCAGCCGCCGCGGUAA